AACAAGGUCUCCGUUGGUGAACCAGCGGAGGGAUCAUUAUCGAGUUAUUCAACUCCCAAACCCUAUGUGAACUUAUCACUUGUUGCUUCGGCGCGCGCUUCGGCGCCGCCGAGGACACUUAAACUCUUUGUUUUUAUAAGCAUUUCUGAGUGGCCGAAAGGCAAAAAUACAAAUGGAUCAAAACUUUCAACAACGGAUCUCUUGGUUCUGGCAUCGAUGAAGAACGCAGCGAAAUGCGAUAAGUAAUGUGAAUUGCAGAAUUCAGUGAAUCAUCGAAUCUUUGAACGCACAUUGCGCCCGCCAGCAUUCUGGCGGGCAUGCCUGUUCGAGCGUCAUUUCAACCCUCGAGCCCGACUCUUUUGAGGACGGCUCGGCGUUGGGGGACGGCAGACUCCCCCCGGCAUCUCGCCGGGGACGCCGCCCCCGAAAUCUAGUGGCGGCCCUCCGAGGCGACCUCUGCGUAGUAACUUGUUCUCGCACCGGAAAGCUCAGAGCGGCCACGCCGUAAAACCCCAACUUUUUUCAGGUUGACCUCGAAUCAGGUAGGACUACCCGCUGAACUUAAGCAUAUCAAUA
RNAcentral lists this ribosomal RNA (576 nucleotides) under uncultured eukaryote. Its description in RNAcentral is "eukaryotic LSU rRNA". The stretch from base 182 to 335 matches the Rfam family "5.8S ribosomal RNA". The record is from RNAcentral.